Molecule: long non-coding RNA, 359 nt
Organism: Trifolium pratense (red clover)
Lineage: Eukaryota; Viridiplantae; Streptophyta; Magnoliopsida; Fabales; Fabaceae
Exons: 3
Source: RefSeq, a predicted model, not a curated record
CUCUCCCUUCUUCUUCUUCUUCUUCUUCUUCUUCUUUAGGGUGCUAUCUGAAGGCUUUCAAGGCCAAAAUAAUCAACUUUCAUCUUCAAUUGACAACGAUCUGAAAAUUGGAUGAAGAUUUUGUUGUCAUUCGACUUGAAUGGACUGUGGUUGAUUGAAUACUUGCAGAUGGUUGAUAAAGCAUUUCUCUGCAAAAGACAUCGCGUGCUUUUGAUAGGAACUCCCUCUUCAGUCAGACAAAAAAUCACAACAGAAACACGACGUGCACUGCAGACAUUUUAACAACAGAAAGACGGUGCAUUGCGGUGACUCCCAGCAGUCAUAUCGUCGUAGCCUUCGGGUUGUCAGCUGUAAGACUU